RNAcentral lists this ribosomal RNA (395 nucleotides) under uncultured bacterium. RNAcentral's name for it is "bacterial SSU rRNA". It matches the Rfam family "Bacterial small subunit ribosomal RNA", at positions 360 to 758 of the family's 1533-position model. The record is from RNAcentral.
UAUCGUGGGGGAACCUGACCGCAAUGCCGCGUGAGUGAAGAAGGCCUUCGGGUUGUAAAGCUCUUUCGGCAGGAACGAAAUGGUACCUGCUAAUACCUCGGACUGAUGACGGUACCUGAAAAAGAACCACCGGCUAACUACUUGCCACCACCCGCGGUAAUACUUAGGGGGCAGGCUUUAAUCGAAAUUACUGGGCGUAAAGCGUGCCCAGGCGGUUUCUUAAAUCAGAUGUGAAAUCCCCGGGCUUAACCUGGGAACUGCGUUUGAAACUGGGAGACUUGAUUGUGGCAAAGGGGGGCGGAAUUCCACGUGUAGCAUUGAAAUUCGUAAAUAUUCGCAAAAACACCAGUGGCAAAGGCGGCUCACUGGCCCGGUACUGACCCUGAGGUGCGAAA